This 528-nucleotide ribosomal RNA is filed under the name uncultured bacterium. Its description in RNAcentral is "bacterial SSU rRNA". It matches the Rfam family "Bacterial small subunit ribosomal RNA", at positions 791 to 1320 of the family's 1533-position model. The record is from RNAcentral.
UAGUCCACGCCGUAAACGAUGAGUACUAGCUAUUGGGGGUAUUGACUCCCUCAGUGGCGCAGCUAACGCAUUAAGUACUCCGCCUGGAGUACGGUCGCAAGGCUAAAACUCAAAGGAAUUGACGGGGGCCCGCACAAGCGGUGGAGUAUGUGGUUUAAUUCAAAGCAACGCGCAGAACCUUACCUACCCUUAACAUUUCACGACGUAUACAGAGAUGUAUAUUUCUCUUCGGAGACGUGAGGAUAGGUGCUGCAUGGCUGUCGUCAGCUCGUGUCGUAAGAUGUCUGGUUAAGUCCAAUAACGAGCGCAACCCUUAUCCUUAGUUACCAGCAUUAAGUUGGGGACUCUAGGGAGACUGCCGGUGUUAAACCGGAGGAAGGCGGGGAUGACGUCAAGUCCUCAUGGCCCUUACGGGUAGGGCUACACACGUACUACAAUGGCAGAUACAAACCGUUUGCAAAGCCGCGAGGUUGAGCUAAUCGGUAAAACACUGUCCCAGUCCGGAUUGGAGUCUGCAACUCGACUCCA